Molecule: long non-coding RNA, 234 nt
Organism: Bactrocera neohumeralis
Lineage: Eukaryota; Metazoa; Arthropoda; Insecta; Diptera; Tephritidae
Exons: 3
Source: RefSeq, a predicted model, not a curated record
CAUUUUUGCCUUUAUCGUAGUAGUACUGUAAAAUAUGCCGUAUUUUCUCUUUAUUUUGCUCCAUGUUUGCGACGCUAUAACUCACGAACGACUUAAACGAAACGACAAUCAAUCAAAUACCGCAUGAAAUGAGCUUUCCAAAAAGGUAUAGCAUGACCCGAUGCGACGAAUAAAACUAGAACUACGCGCUUUCAGCGCCAACUAGCGAAAAUACCGCAAGACUUUUUUGACAGC